Molecule: non-coding RNA, 95 nt
Filed under: Xanthomonas sp. 60
Lineage: Bacteria; Pseudomonadati; Pseudomonadota; Gammaproteobacteria; Lysobacterales; Lysobacteraceae
Source: RNAcentral
UCAUACGGCGGGCGAUGCGCGGGGAUCUCCCGAUCCGCCGGUUUUUCACCGUGACACUUCUGCCGGUACGCCAACCCGCAUCGCCCGCCACCCCG